AGAGACGUGGUGUAGGUACGCACCCCGCCGGCACAUGGCGCUUGACCGCGCAAAUACCGGGGGUGGAGGGGGUUCGAUUCCCCCCGUCUCGC
This 92-nucleotide transfer RNA is filed under the name Actinomadura coerulea. RNAcentral describes it as "tRNA-Val". The record is from RNAcentral. Lineage: Bacteria; Bacillati; Actinomycetota; Actinomycetes; Streptosporangiales; Thermomonosporaceae.